UAGCAUAUCAAUAAGCGGAGGAAAAGAAACCAACAGGGAUUGCCCUAGUAACGGCGAGUGAAGCGGCAACAGCUCAAAUUUGAAAUCUGGCCCUCGGGUCCGAGUUGUAAUUUGUAGAGGAUGCUUUUGGUGAGGUGCCUUCCGAGUUCCCUGGAACGGGACGCCAUAGAGGGUGAGAGCCCCGUCUGGUUGGACACCGAGCCUCUGUAAAGCUCCUUCGACGAGUCGAGUAGUUUGGGAAUGCUGCUCUAAAUGGGAGGUAUAUGUCUUCUAAAGCUAAAUACCGGCCAGAGACCGAUAGCGCACAAGUAGAGUGAUCGAAAGAUGAAAAGCACUUUGAAAAGAGAGUUAAAAAGUACGUGAAAUUGUUGAAAGGGAAGCGCUUAUGACCAGACUUGGGCUUGGUUGAUCAUCCUGGGUUCUCCCUGGUGCACUCUUCCAGUUCAGGCCAGCAUCAGUUCGCUGCGGGGGAUAAAAGUUUUGGGAAUGUGGCUCCUUCGGGAGUGUUAUAGCCCAUUUCAUAAUACCCUGCUCCGGACUGAGGUUCGCGCAUCUGCAAGGAUGCUGGCGUAAUGGUCAUCAGCGACCCGUCUUGAAACACGGACCAAGGAGUCGUCUUCGUAUGCGAGUGUUCGGGUGUUAAACCCCUACGCGUAAUGAAAGUGAACGCAGGUGAGAGCUUCGGCGCAUCAUCGACCGAUCCUGAUGUUCUCGGAUGGAUUUGAGUAAGAGCAUACGGGGCCGGACCCGAAAGAAGGUGAACUAUGCCUGUAUAGGGUGAAGCCAGAGGAAACUCUGGUGGAGGCUCGCAGCGGUUCUGACGUGCAAAUCGAUCGUCAAAUAUGGGCAUGGGGGCGAAAGACUAAUCGAACCUUCUAGUAGCUGGUUUCCGCG
Molecule: ribosomal RNA, 894 nt
Filed under: Calonectria zuluensis
Lineage: Eukaryota; Fungi; Ascomycota; Sordariomycetes; Hypocreales; Nectriaceae
Description: LSU rRNA
Rfam family: Eukaryotic large subunit ribosomal RNA
Source: RNAcentral